Long non-coding RNA from Salvia miltiorrhiza (redroot sage), 924 nucleotides. RefSeq lists it as uncharacterized. NCBI's taxonomy places the organism in Eukaryota, Viridiplantae, Streptophyta, Magnoliopsida, Lamiales, Lamiaceae. The record is from RefSeq and is a predicted model, not a curated record. The transcript has 2 exons.
UGUAAUUUUCAUAAUAAUGCUUUUUUUUUUUAUCCCAAAUGAUAUUUUAUUAAGUUUGAUUCUUAUCAAUUUAGCUCGCCAUUUUUAGCGUUGUUAAAAAUAACAAACCAUAAGAGUGUUGUUUUUGUAAAUUAAUUUUGUUUCAAGUAUGAAAGAAUAAGUUGGAAUUGAGAAGUUAAUUUUUUAGGAAACAUAAAUCAUCGGAGCUUAUUUUGUCAAAUAUCUCCAAAGGCUACUCUUGUAUUUGUAAUAAGGAAAGUUUCCCCCUUCCAAACAAAAAAAAGAAGAAAACUAAAGGUGAAAUAUUGAAUUGAUUGAUGGAUCAAAAUUUUUGAAGUAUAAAAAGCGAUGGCCGAAAUACAUGUGUUUUUAAGCCACAUACAUAAUGGUCCGUUUGUGUUAAAAAGCAUGAAUGAAUGUUGUUUUUAUUGCCUUUAUUCUUUGAUUGGCAUUCCCGUCAAGCUAUGCAUCAUCCCUUCUAUACCUAUCUUUGCAGCUCAUAAACAAAACCAUAACCAAAAAUGGCUCUGAGUAGCGUUUAUGUUACCGCGCCGGCAGCAGCUGCAGCAAUGGGCCUCUAUUUCUUCGGAAAAAAUCUCUCCAACACCAAUGCUGCUGGAUUGGUGGGCAAGGACAAGAUCAAGAUCAAGAAUGCGCCUAAAUUGGCUCCGCAGUUUGAUGGUUUGCACUGUUUCGAGACUAUUGUGCGCCGUUAAUUGAUUCAUCUCUCUUUUCUUAUGAUUUCAUCAUUGGAGUUUAGAGAUGAUGUUUCAUUUCAAUAGGAAACCAAAUAUCUCUGUCUUUUAAGCAGACAUUGAGAUUCUUGUAGAUGAUGUUGAUUCACUUCAACUUAGUCCAUACCAUAUGUGGGCUUUUUAGCGUUAUGGAAUAUAAAUAAAUGUUAAUACUAUUUUAGUGCUUCAA